This is a non-coding RNA of Benincasa hispida (wax gourd), 777 nucleotides long. The record is from RefSeq and is a predicted model, not a curated record. NCBI's taxonomy places the organism in Eukaryota, Viridiplantae, Streptophyta, Magnoliopsida, Cucurbitales, Cucurbitaceae.
ACCAUAGUUUUUUUUCUUUCUAUUUUAUGGUAUUUAAUAUAAAUCAUAUUUAUAUUAAUUCCUCCUAUGAUAAUGUAUCAAAUACAUCAAAUCAAUUAUAUCACAUAUAAUUGAAUUUCCUAUUGUUAAUUUCCACUAAGAAUUCCUAAGCAUCUUAGUCAUCAAAACCCACCUAAUUCCACCAAGUAUGAGGUAUAAUUCAUGUAGGAAAUCUAUUUGCAUGGAAGUCAUGCAAUAAAUAAACCAAAUUGAAGUGGAAAUUGGGCAUGCAUAGAAGAGAUUUUGGUUGAAAAAUCUGUUUGAAGAAAGUCUUCGUUCUGCUGAAAACUAAAAAAUAUUUCUCCUCUAUUUCCCUAAUUUAAGCUUAUUUUGAGUCCAACUCAAUCUAAGGCACCAAGAGAAUAAUAGGGAAGACCUUGUGGUGGUUCACAUCCAAAGGAAGGGAGGAUUGCAGUUGGAAUUCGUGAUUCAAAGGUAUCUUCAAAGGAUCUCACAAUCCUUGAUCUCUAUCUGGAGAAUAGCAAAGAAACUGAGUGGUGGUGUCUUGCUACAAGUUCGUGUCGUUCAUGAGUUUGGGAAGAAGCUUCGGUGUUCGUGAGUUCGUGGAAAGGAGGAGACUGCGUUGAAGAAGGUUUUCAAGAGGUAUUAUUCUCUUUUCCGUAAAGCAUGUUGCAUGUAUAUAUGUUUAUUCUAUACAUGUUGUAUGAUUUCUUUGUUUUUCACACUUUUCUAAAAUGAAUUACACUAGCACAUGUGUUCACACGUUUUCGAUGCAAA